This 76-nucleotide transfer RNA is filed under the name Clostridium ljungdahlii DSM 13528. Its description in RNAcentral is "tRNA-Ala". The record is from RNAcentral. Lineage: Bacteria; Bacillati; Bacillota; Clostridia; Eubacteriales; Clostridiaceae.
UUAUAAAUUAAAAAUUAAGUUAAAAAGGGAUGUUGUAUAUGUUUACUUUAAAAUAUUAUGAUAAAAAAAAUACUUU